GGCGUGCUAUAAUGCAGUCGAGCGGACAGAUGGGAGCUUGCUCCCUGAUGUUAGCGGCGGACGGGUGAGUAACACGUGGGUAACCUGCCUGUAAGACUGGGAUAACUCCGGGAAACCGGGGCUAAUACCGGAUGGUUGUUUGAACCGCAUGGUUCAGACAUAAAAGGUGGCUUCGGCUACCACUUACAGAUGGACCCGCGGCGCAUUAGCUAGUUGGUGAGGUAACGGCUCACCAAGGCGACGAUGCGUAGCCGACCUGAGAGGGUGAUCGGCCACACUGGGACUGAGACACGGCCCAGACUCCUACGGGAGGCAGCAGUAGGGAAUCUUCCGCAAUGGACGAAAGUCUGACGGAGCAACGCCGCGUGAGUGAUGAAGGUUUUCGGAUCGUAAAGCUCUGUUGUUAGGGAAGAACAAGUGCCGUUCAAAUAGGGCGGCACCUUGACGGUACCUAACCAGAAAGCCACGGYUAACUACGUGCCAGCAGCCGCGGUAAUACGUAGGUGGCAAGCGUUGUCCGGAAUUAUUGGGCGUAAAGGGCUCGCAGGCGGUUUCUUAAGUCUGAUGUGAAAGCCCCCGGCUCAACCGGGGAGGGUCAUUGGAAACUGGGGAACUUGAGUGCAGAAGAGGAGAGUGGAAUUCCACGUGUAGCGGUGAAAUGYGUAGAGAUGUGGAGGAACACCAGUGGCGAAGGCGACUCUCUGGUCUGUAACUGACGCUGAGGAGCGAAAGCGUGGGGAGCGAACAGGAUUAGAUACCCUGGUAGUCCACGCCGUAAACGAUGAGUGCUAAGUGUUAGGGGGGUUUCCGCCCCUUAGUGCUGCAGCUAACGCAUUAAGCACUCCGCCUGGGGAGUACGGUCGCAAGACUGAAACUCAAAGGAAUUGACGGGGGCCCGCACAAGCGGUGGAGCAUGUGGUUUUAAUUCGAAGCAACGCGAAGAACCCUUACCAGGUCUUGACAUCCUCUGACAAUCCUAGAGAUAGGACGUCCCCUUCGGGGGCAGAGUGACAGGUGGUGCAUGCCUGUCGUCAGCUCGUGUCGUGAGAUGUUGGGUUAAGUCCCGCAACGAGCGCAAACCUUGA
This 1085-nucleotide ribosomal RNA is filed under the name Bacillus velezensis. Its description in RNAcentral is "bacterial SSU rRNA". The record is from RNAcentral. Lineage: Bacteria; Bacillati; Bacillota; Bacilli; Caryophanales; Bacillaceae.